This 615-nucleotide long non-coding RNA is filed under the name Canis lupus familiaris (dog). Its description in RNAcentral is "lncRNA (ENSCAFG00845012729.1)". Lineage: Eukaryota; Metazoa; Chordata; Mammalia; Carnivora; Canidae. The record is from RNAcentral.
CCCAGCGCUGCACGGGCUGCCGGGCCCCGGGCAGGACGUGGUGGGGGGCUGGGGCCAGCUAUCUGCACCCCGUCCCCCAGGACAUCCCCGGAUAUCUCCCCAGCUGCCGGGAACGCACCCCAGACCCAGAGCCACGGUCCGCGGGGGGCCCUGUGUCUUCCUGGCUCCUCCGGGUCCCGCGGGGGACUGGACGCGGCCCGAGUGCCCACCUCCCGGGCUGGAGCCUCACCUGCGGCCCCCGCUUGUCCUCUUCCAGGAACUCUGCCAGGAGACCCGGCGCGUGGACAAAUGGAUAAAAAUGCUCAAGCGAUGGGACCACUACCUCCCCAGCGAGAAGGCAGGGAGCCCUGUUCCACAUUCUGGCGGCCUACUCGGUGAACGACACGGUGAGUGUCCCUGCCCCUGCCUCCUGCCCCGCGGAUGGCCUUGUCCUGAGUGCUGGUGACCAGCGGGACUCACAGAGGGGCCCCAGCUCCAUGGCCCCGAGAUGCUGGGGAGGGUCUCUCUCCUCUGGGACGGGCAGGGGGGCGGUGCAGACCUCCCAGGGGAGGCAGGGCCUGCGUGCCCGAGGGCCGGGGCUGCCCGGGGCCCCCGCAUGCACCGCGGCCGUCCUAG